RNAcentral lists this ribosomal RNA (420 nucleotides) under uncultured bacterium. Its description in RNAcentral is "partial 16S ribosomal RNA". It matches the Rfam family "Bacterial small subunit ribosomal RNA", at positions 361 to 773 of the family's 1533-position model. The record is from RNAcentral.
AUAUUGGACAAUGGGGGUAACCCUGAUCCAGCCAUGCGGCGUGUGUGUAGACGGUCUUCGGAUGGUAAAGCACUGUAAUUUGGGAGGAUGGGCUUUAGGCUAAUACCCUGAAGUUUUGACGUUACCAACAGAAUAAGAACCGGCUAAUUCUGUGCCAGCAGCCGCGGUAAUACAGAGGGUGCAAGCGUUAAUCGGAAUUACUGGGCGUAAAGCGCGCGUAGGUGGUUCAGUAAGAUGGGUGUGAAAUCCCCGGGCUUAACCUGGGAACUGCUUUCAUAACUGCUGAGCUAGAGUACGGUAGAGGGUAGUGGAAUUUCCUGUGUAGCGGUGAAAUGCGUAGAUAUAGGAAGGAACACCAGUGGCGAAGGCGACUACCUGGACUGAUACUGACACUGAGGUGCGAAAGCGUGGGGAGCAAAC